UGGGGGAUAUUGCACAAUGGGCGAAAGCCUGAUGCAGCGACGCCGCGUGGGGGAUGAAGGCCUUCGGGUUGUAAACUUCUUUUGCUCUGAACAAGGCAUGCCUUUGGGGUGUGUUGAGUGUAGGGGUUGAUUAGCGCCGGCUAACUACGUGCCAGCAGCCGCGGUAAUACGUAGGGCGCGAGCGUUGUCCGGAAUUAUUGGGCGUAAAGGGCUUGUAGGUGGCUGGUUGCGUCUGUCGUGAAAGCUCAUGGCUUAACUGUGGGUUUGCGGUGGGUACGGGCUGGCUUGAGUGCAGUAGGGGAGGCUGGAAUUCCUGGUGUAGCGGUGGAAUGCGCAGAUAUCAGGAGGAAUACCGGUGGCGAAGGCGGGUCUCUGGGCUGUUACGGACGCUGAGGAGCGAAAGCGUGGGGAGCGAACAGG
Molecule: ribosomal RNA, 420 nt
Filed under: Fusobacteriota bacterium
Lineage: Bacteria; Fusobacteriati; Fusobacteriota
Description: Fusobacteria bacterium partial 16S ribosomal RNA
Rfam family: Bacterial small subunit ribosomal RNA
Source: RNAcentral